UACAGAGGGUGCGAACGUUGUUCGGAAUUACUGGGCAUAAAGAGCACGUAGGCGGCCCCGCAAGUGUGGGGUGAAAUCCCACGGCUUACCCGUGGAACUGCCUGGCAGACUGCGGUGCUAGAGGUUGGUAGGGGAGAGCGGAACUCUUGGUGGAGCGGUGAAAUGUGUAGAGAUCGGGAGGAACACCGGUGGCGAAGGCGGGUCUCUGGGCAUCUCCUGACGCUGAGGCGCGAAAGCGUGGGGAGCAAACGGG
RNAcentral lists this ribosomal RNA (253 nucleotides) under uncultured bacterium. RNAcentral describes it as "partial 16S ribosomal RNA". It matches the Rfam family "Bacterial small subunit ribosomal RNA", at positions 524 to 776 of the family's 1533-position model. The record is from RNAcentral.